This 274-nucleotide ribosomal RNA is filed under the name uncultured bacterium. RNAcentral's name for it is "partial 16S ribosomal RNA". It matches the Rfam family "Archaeal small subunit ribosomal RNA", at positions 473 to 747 of the family's 1478-position model. The record is from RNAcentral.
ACACCAGCACCUCAAGUGGUCAGGAUGAUUAUUGGGCCUAAAGCAUCCGUAGCCUGCUUUGUAAGUUUUCGGUUAAAUCUGUACGCUUAACGUACAGGCUGCCGGGAAUACUGCAGAGCUAGGGAGUGGGAGAGGUAGACGGUACUCGGGAGGAAGUGGUAAAAUGCUUUGAUCUCUCGAUGACCACCUGUGGCGAAGGCGGUCUACCAGAACACGUCCGACGGUGAGGGAUGAAAGCUGGGGGAGCAAACAGGAUUAGAAACCCCAGUAGUCC